UACGUGGGGGGCAAGCGUUAUCCGGAUUCACUGGGUGUAAAGGGAGCGUAGACGGCCAUGCAAGCCUGGAGUGAAAGCCCGGGGCCCAACCCCGGGACUGCUCUGGGAACUGUGCGGCUGGAGUGCGGGAGGGGCAGGCGGAAUUCCUGGUGUAGCGGUGAAAUGCGUAGAUAUCAGGAGGAACACCGGCGGCGAAGGCGGCCUGCUGGACCGCGACUGACGUUGAGGCUCGAAAGCGUGGGGAGCAAACAGG
Molecule: ribosomal RNA, 253 nt
Filed under: uncultured bacterium
Lineage: Bacteria
Description: partial 16S ribosomal RNA
Rfam family: Bacterial small subunit ribosomal RNA
Source: RNAcentral